AUUUAUUAUAUACUCUGUGUGUGUGUGUGUGUGUGUGUGUGUGUGUGUAUAUAUAUAUAUAUAUACACACACACACACACAUAUAUAUAUAUAUAUACACACA
Non-coding RNA from Podarcis lilfordi (Lilford's wall lizard), 103 nucleotides. The record is from the annotation of a GenBank genome assembly. NCBI's taxonomy places the organism in Eukaryota, Metazoa, Chordata, Lepidosauria, Squamata, Lacertidae.